AUGCAGUCCCCCACUUCGGUCCCGUCUCAACGCCCGGCAAACGACCACCGUCCACCUGUGAGCGUGCUACAGUGCGAGAGCAUCCGCCAUUAUAACCGGCAGACGAGUGCGUCGGCCAAGCAACUGCUCUACCAGACUCACUCCACACUCCGCUUCCGUGGAACGGACGAAGCUAACCAGCAACAGCGAGCGAUGGGGCCAUCCACCAUGGCUCGAGCCCUCGCGGCCGCGGCUGCCGUCCUCGCCGCCGUGGUCUGCGCCGGCGCGACCCCGGAGACGACGUGCAGGGCGGCGGCGGGCGCCGACAGGCGCGUGGACUACCGCUUCUGCGUGUCCAGGCUGAGCCAGCACCACGACAGCCCCGACGCCGACACGUGGGGCCUGGCCAAGGUGGCCGCCGACGUGGGCGUGCUCAUGGCCAGCAACGGCGUCUACGACAUCAAGGCCAUGCUCGCCGGCAAGGAGGAGCGGCCGGCGGGCGCCAGGGCGCGCGGGCCGCUGGAGCAGUGCGAGGCGCUGUACGACAGGAUGGGCGCCGCGUUCGCCGAGGCGUACGACGGCAUCGACCGGCGCGACUACGCGGCGGGCAAGGAGAAGGCCGGCGAGGCCGCGUCCCUCGCGCGCCGCUGCGCCCACGCCUUCGCCCGCGCCGGCGUCGCCGUGCCGCCGCGGCUGGCGAAGCAGGGCGCCGACUCGGUGCAGAUGGCCAUCGUCUGCACCGCCAUUACCAACCUCGUCAAGUGA
RNAcentral lists this ribosomal RNA (744 nucleotides) under Triticum aestivum (bread wheat). Its description in RNAcentral is "partial small subunit ribosomal RNA". Lineage: Eukaryota; Viridiplantae; Streptophyta; Magnoliopsida; Poales; Poaceae. The record is from RNAcentral.